Oncorhynchus tshawytscha (Chinook salmon) is the source of this 384-nucleotide long non-coding RNA. The record is from Ensembl. Lineage: Eukaryota; Metazoa; Chordata; Actinopteri; Salmoniformes; Salmonidae.
ACAGCCUUCAACCCCAUGGAGGAUCCUGCCACUGAACCUAGACAGAGGAGGAUGAUCUGGAGCAGCGCUGGCUGUGGGAGGAGGGCCAGGCGGACUACCUUGGCAAAGACGCCUUCGACAAAAUCCCGAAAAAACUGGACCGAUUCUUAGAUUAGAAGCAUGUUUUGUGUGGCAAGAUACUGUAGCAAUAGUACUGUAUUCUCAUGUUCAUGCUUAUGUGUGUUAUGUCUGUAGUGUAGGCCACUCUAAUAGUUAAAAAAAAAAAAAAAAAAUUGGAAUCAAGUUUGUCCUUUUGUUGUAAAAAUAAAUAAAAAUAAACUUGAUUCCAAUUUCAUUAAAAAAUGUGGCCAUUGAAUUCAAGUUGAAAUCCAUUCCUUAUUUUGA